This 253-nucleotide ribosomal RNA is filed under the name uncultured bacterium. Its description in RNAcentral is "partial 16S ribosomal RNA". It matches the Rfam family "Bacterial small subunit ribosomal RNA", at positions 524 to 776 of the family's 1533-position model. The record is from RNAcentral.
UACAGAGGGUGCGAGCGUUAAUCGGAAUUACUGGGCGUAAAGGGCGCGUAGGUGGUUUAUUAAGAUGGAUGUGAAAUCCCUGGGCUUAACCUAGGAACUGCAUCGAUGACUGAUAAGCUAGAGUACUGUAGAGGGUAGUGGAAUUUCCGGUGUAGCGGUGAAAUGCGUAGAGAUCGGAAGGAACACCAGUGGCGAAGGCGGUUCUCUGGGCAUGUCCUGACGCUGAGGAGCGAAAGUGUGGGGAGCGAACAGG